UUAAGGAAAGAAAGUACUCAAUUAGAGAGAGAAACUGAUUAUAGGUUUCCUAGAGCUUACACGUAGUGAUGGCUGCUCCUCGGGAACUACCUUUGAAAGAGGGUUAAGGAAGAUCCAGCCAGCUUCUCACACCACUGCACUUCCCUCUUCAUCACCUUGGCUUUGCUCUUCCCAGAAUGGAACUGUUUAAGUCCCUGACCUACCCCAAAGCAGGUGCCUUUUGGGUCUUCUACACUGUGACUCCUCACUGACUGGCAUCUCAGAAGGCAGAUGUUAGAACGUAGAAGGCUCAGGCACCAGACAGAGACACCUCUGAAAAACUUGCUCAGCUUUUAACAGCAGACUGAGUUCAAAUCUCUUUGUACAGGAGCCUAACUAAAACCAGUAGGUGGAGACCACAGGGUGCCAGGCGCUAUGAAGAAUCGGUCCAGUGGUUGGAGACCUUUGUGGUUGGAGACCUUUGUGGUUGGAAUGGCUGCCUAAAGAGGUGGUGAGGUCCUGUUACUGUGCCAACACCAAGACCGUUCCACAGGGGAGAGAAGGAGGCAGAUGUUGUUGGAUGUUCUUCUCGACUGGAAAGUUUCACAUCCGUUAGGGAAAAGGACAUCUGAGUGAUGGGGAUAUGGUACCCGUGAGGCAGUGGCCGAUGGUUCUUGCCUCCUUUCAAACUCAGAACGUUAUCAGUCAAGAGUCUGAUCUACUUAUUGAUAUCCCUUAAUAAAUGGAAACUCCCUGGGUGGCCGGAGUCAGAAUACAUUGCUCCUUGAGUUAAUCUCCUCCACUCCCGUGUAUGCUUCCUCAGUGGCUGUGCGUUUCUGGUGUUGGUGUGGUAGUGUCUCAUCUGAGAAUUUAUGCCUUCUGUGGCUCGGGCCUGUGCCUGGCUGUAAAUAAAAGAGUUGCUUAAGAAAUCA
Molecule: long non-coding RNA, 911 nt
Organism: Suricata suricatta (meerkat)
Lineage: Eukaryota; Metazoa; Chordata; Mammalia; Carnivora; Herpestidae
Exons: 5
Source: RefSeq, a predicted model, not a curated record